Long non-coding RNA from Macaca mulatta (Rhesus monkey), 1550 nucleotides. NCBI's taxonomy places the organism in Eukaryota, Metazoa, Chordata, Mammalia, Primates, Cercopithecidae. The record is from Ensembl.
GAGACACAUCAGACCCACUGUCCUAACUGGGUACGGGGAGGGGCAGGACCAGCCAAACUAGGGAUAAACUGUCAAGAUGAGGUCUGAGGGUAGGAAGGUCCCCGCAGGCCGCAGGCGGUAGAAACAGGCCUGGGAGCAGGGGCUCAGGAAUGAGACCCCUCCCUGAGUGUUUGGGCAGGUCUGAGCCAACAGGGCCUUACACACCUCUUCUCGUGCAGUCCUCACUACUGCCCUCUGGUGGUGGCUGUCUCCAUUUCACAGGGGAGGAUGUUGAGAAGUUCCUCUGCGUGAAGGGACAGAGCUCGGAGGUGAACCCCGGCCUGAAUUAUCCAAAAUGCUGUGCACUUCUCAGGACACUGUAGUGUUCCAGCACCCCAUAGGGACCCAGUGAGGGAAGAGAUUAUUGUCAUGUGGAAGACAUUUGGGGUGGGGGUCUCAGCCAAAACAUCCACUCAUCAGAAAGACUCCUCUUGGCCACCCAUCUAAAGAAGGUCCCUUUCCUAAUUUCUCAUGCGGCACUCAGUUUCUUCACUGCCCUCAUCAUAAUUCAAGAUCAUAUAUUUAUAUGUGAAUAUAGUUUACUUUUAUCGUAAACUAAAGUUUGCAGGAAAAGGACCGUGGAGGCCUCUUUUGUUCUGCAUUCUAUCCCCAGCACCUGCUGUGGUACCAGGCAAGCAAGCAGGCACUCGAAACUGCUUUGGUGGAUGCAGCAGUGGGGUACACUGGAAAACGGAGGCAAGUGAGGGAUGUCACAGGUCACAAGCCUCCACCAGAGACUGAAGGUGUUGACUUUCACCUCCCACACCCUCUAGAGUGUGAUGGGAGGUUUGCUCUCUCAGGGACAGCAUAAAAAUAAUGCUUAUGUUACAGGGAUGAGAACCAAGGUUGAGGAAGCAGAAAGUAGGUGGUGUGACCAGCAACGGUGUGAUCAGCAAGGGUGCCUGAAAAUGGGACAACUGACAGCCUUGGAAGAAGCAGGCUCUUUGGCCAUGGGACCUGAGGCAGGCCCUCAGCAGCUGGGGCUGGGCAGCUUGGGCGGCUCCAUGCCUCACUUCCUCCUCUGAGGAACUGGCCAGAAAGCUGACUUCAGUGACGACUCAGGAAGAGUCAGGUUCACCCAAGGAACAGAAUGUGGCCUGAGAACAGAUGAAGUCAGUUAUGCCUCAGUCAUUGCUGUCAUAUUUUCUCCUCUGCACUUGCUCAUUCAGAAAAUAUUUAUUGGCAUCUACUAGGUAUUAAGAAUCCUUGUAGGCUGGGCGUGGUGGCUUACGGUUGUAAUCCCAGCACUUUGAGAGGCCGAGGUGGGUGGAUUACGAGGUCAGGAGUUCGAGACCAGCUGACCAACAUGGUGAAACACCAUCUAUACUAAAAAUACAAAAAUUAGCCAGGCAUGGUGGCGUGCACCUGUAAUACCAGCUACUCCGGAGGCUGAGGCAGGAGAAUCACUUGGACCCGUGAGGCAGAGGUUGCAGUGAGCAGAGAUCAUGCCAUUGCACUCCAGCCUGGACAACAGAGUGAGACUCUGUCUCAAAAAAAAAAAAAAAAAAAAA